UACUUUGGUGGCGACCGGCGCACGGGUGAGUAACGCGUAUGCAACCCUUUUAUGAGAGGGGAAUAACCCGGCGAAAGUCGGACUACUUCCGCAUAAAACAGGGACACCGCAUGGUGAUAUUUGUUAAAGAAAUUCGCUGAUAGAUGGGCAUGCGUUCCAUUAGGUAGUUGGUGAGGUAACGGCUCACCAAGCCGACGAUGGAUAGGGGAACUGAGAGGUUGGUCCCCCACACUGGUACUGAGACACGGACCAGACUCCUACGGGAGGCAGCAGUGAGGAAUAUUGGUCAAUGGGCGAGAGCCUGAACCAGCCAAGUCGCGUGAAGGAAGAAGGAUCUAUGGUUCGUAAACUUCUUUUGCAGGGGAAUAAAGUGCAGGACGUGUCCUGUUUUGUAUGUACCCUGAGAAUAAGGAUCGGCUAACUCCGUGCCAGCAGCCGCGGUAAUACGGAGGAUCCGAGCGUUAUCCGGAUUUAUUGGGUUUAAAGGGUGCGUAGGUGGUUUGAUAAGUCAGCGGUGAAAGUUUGCAGCUUAACUGUAAAAAUGCCGUUGAAACUGUCGGACUUGAGUGUAAAUGAGGUAGGCGGAAUGCGUGGUGUAGCGGUGAAAUGCUUAGAUAUCACGAAGAACUCCGAUUG
This 636-nucleotide ribosomal RNA is filed under the name uncultured Porphyromonadaceae bacterium. RNAcentral describes it as "bacterial SSU rRNA". It matches the Rfam family "Bacterial small subunit ribosomal RNA", at positions 81 to 715 of the family's 1533-position model. The record is from RNAcentral. Lineage: Bacteria; Pseudomonadati; Bacteroidota; Bacteroidia; Bacteroidales; Porphyromonadaceae.